CAGAUGGAUAACCGGGAGAAAUCCCGCCUAAUACAACAUAAUGCCGGGAGGGGACAUCCCCUGCCGGCCAAAGGGGGCGACCCCGGUCACGGAUGGGCAUGCGGCGCAUUAGGUAGUUGGUGGGGCAACGGCCCACCAAGCCGACGAUGCGUAGGGGUUCUGAGAGGAAGGUCCCCCACAUUGGAACUGAGACACGGUCCAAACUCCUACGGGAGGCAGCAGUGAGGAAUAUUGGUCAAUGGCCGGAAGGCUGAACCAGCCAAGUCGCGUGAGGGAAUAAGGCCCUACGGGUCGUAAACCUCUUUUGCCAGGGAGCAAUGCCGUCCACGUGUGGACGGAAGGAGAGUACCUGGAGAAAAAGCAUCGGCUAACUCCGUGCCAGCAGCCGCGGUAAUACGGAGGAUGCGAGCGUUAUCCGGAUUUAUUGGGUUUAAAGGGUGCGUAGGCGGCCUGCCAAGUCAGCGGUAAAAUUGCGGGGCUCAACCCCGUACAGCCGUUGAAACUGCCGGGCUCGAGUGGGCGAGAAGUAUGCGGAAUGCGUGGUGUAGCGGUGAAAUGCAUAGAUAUCACGCAGAACCCCGAUUGCGAAGGCAGCAUACCGGCGCCCUACUGACGCUGAGGCACGAAAGUGCGGGGAUCAAACAGGAUUAGAUACCCUGGUAGUCCGCACAGUAAACGAUGAAUGAUAGCUGUCCGGGGGGAUUGACCCCUGGGUGCACAG
Molecule: ribosomal RNA, 721 nt
Filed under: uncultured bacterium
Lineage: Bacteria
Description: bacterial SSU rRNA
Rfam family: Bacterial small subunit ribosomal RNA
Source: RNAcentral